UUCCCCUAGUAACUGCGAGUGAAGCGGGAAAAGCUCAAAUUUAAAAUCUGGUAGUCUUUGGCUGCCCGAGUUGUAAUCUAGAGAAGUGUUAUCCGCGUUGGACCGUGUACAAGUCUCCUGGAAUGGAGCGUCAUAGAGGGUGAGAAUCCCGUCUUUGACACGGACUACCAGUGCUUUGUCAUGCGCUCUCAAAGAGUCGAGUUGUUUGGGAAUGCAGCUCAAAAUGGGUGGUAAAUUCCAUCUAAAGCUAAAUAUUGGCGAGAGACCGAUAGCGAACAAGUACCGUGAGGGAAAGAUGAAAAGAACUUUGGAAAGAGAGUUAAACAGUACGUGAAAUUGCUGAAAGGGAAACGCUUGAAGUCAGUCGCGUUGCCUGGGGAUCAACCUUACUUUUGUUGGGUGUACUUUCCAGGUGACGGGUCAGCAUCAAUUUUGACCGUUGGAUAAAGUGUAGAGAAAUGUGGCAUCUUCGGGUGUGUUAUAGUCUCUGCUCGUAUACAACGAUUGGGAUUGAGGAACUCAGUACGCCGCAAGGCCGGG
RNAcentral lists this ribosomal RNA (540 nucleotides) under Deconica aff. horizontalis V. Ramirez-Cruz 1520 (IBUG). Its description in RNAcentral is "eukaryotic LSU rRNA". It matches the Rfam family "Eukaryotic large subunit ribosomal RNA", at positions 75 to 615 of the family's 3401-position model. Lineage: Eukaryota; Fungi; Basidiomycota; Agaricomycetes; Agaricales; Kuehneromycetaceae. The record is from RNAcentral.